GACGAACGCUGGCGGCGGGCUUAACACAUGCAAGUCGAACGGAAAGGGCCUGCUUUUGUGUUGUUCUCGAGUGGCGAACGGGUGGGUAACACGUGAGUAGCCUACCCUUUGCUGUGGGAGAACUUCAGGAGACAGGGGCUGAUAACGGAGAGUAACUCCUGCUGCAUGGUGGGGGGGAGAAAGUUUCGUCGGUUGGUGAUGGACGCGCGGCUGAGCAGCUUGUUGGUGGGGUAGUGGCUUACCAAGGCGUUGAGGGGUAGACGGCAUGAGAGGGGGACCGGCGACAUGGGGACUGAGAGACGGAGCAGAGUCCUAUGGGAGGCAGCAGGGGGGAACCUUGUACAAUGGGGCGACGCCUAAUGCAGAAACGCUGCGGGCGGGAAGAAGGCCUUGCGGUUGUAAACCGAUUUAGCCUGUGACGAAGAGUGAGUGACGGUAAUGGGUAAAGAAGCACCGGCUAACUACGUG
RNAcentral lists this ribosomal RNA (468 nucleotides) under uncultured bacterium. RNAcentral describes it as "partial 16S ribosomal RNA". It matches the Rfam family "Bacterial small subunit ribosomal RNA", at positions 28 to 507 of the family's 1533-position model. The record is from RNAcentral.